GGAAAAUACAAUGCGUGCAAACAGACCCUCAGUUCAAGAGGAAAAACUGUACUUAAUCAUCUUGCCAGCUUCCUUUCUGCCCCCCCCUCCAGCUUGAGUUUCAGUAUCAUCAAAUAGGAGCAAGUCCCAGGUUUUUUUUUUGCUUUCCUGCUCGCUGCCUGGUUGUCUCUGAGCCCCCCCCCUCUCUCCUUCCCUCCUCACUUUCUUCCCCAGCUGAACGCAAAACCUGAGUGGGCCCGGCUCUCUUGCUUCAGUAUUUAAACACCUCCACCAGGUCCCUAGUUAGCAGCUCUCUCCGGCUCAUCCAAGAAGCUGACAAGUACGGUUAGAGGAGGCUGUACAUGUUGCUCUAAUGGACCUCAUUAAGUUCUACUUACAGAUGUUCUCUUAACAUAAUUGAUCUGCGAUGAAAACUUUAAGGAACAAUGAAGAAGAGAAACGAAGGAUUUUCGCCACUGGAUGGGAAAUGGACCAAAGCUGGCCUGGAAGAAAGGGCUCUUGGGACCACAUUUGUGUAUGUUUUCUCCACCUGGUGAUGGGUAGAACGCCCUACUCCUCUGGUUCGUCUCCUGAUGAAAGGCCAAGCUGAGUCACGCGGCACAAGUGUGUGUCUGCUUGCACUUGCGCCAACCACAAUGCGGGAGAGGGUGUCUGUCAAGUGAUUGCCUUCAGCAGAGGGACGUGAGCUGGUUUACCACCCGUGCUAGCUUUUUGAAUUUGGGGCGAGCCAAGCCCAAACCAUGGAGGACACUUGAGCCUUAAUGCAACCCCUUUGAGACCUUCACUUGAAAGCCAACCUCUUCUUCCCCCUGCCUAGAGCACCCUUUGAACCAGUUAGUCGAGUAUGCGUGCUAUGAGCCACCAACCCCGUCCAAAGCACGUUCAGAAUAUGAGGCCACAAACUGCAGGUUGCAAAUUUUUGCUCUGCUCUGAAAGGACUUGCCAGUUGACAAUCAUAUUUCAUCCUCAUCGUUAUUAGAAUCCUUUUUUGCAUCACCAUGGGAACAUUCUGGAAAGUCUGUUUCAAGCUCCCACAUCGCCUGGGCUUCAUCUGAACAUACUUACUCAUACUUACUCCUUGAGUUCAAUGAAAAUCUCAUCCUAUGAUUUCUUGACCUCUCUGUUUCACGUGAUCCCAUUCACUUCAUUUGCUAUAGUGUCUUCUGCCAAAUAUGGCCUUACUAUAUAUGUAUACAGUGGUGCCUCGCAUA
Molecule: non-coding RNA, 1211 nt
Organism: Pogona vitticeps (central bearded dragon)
Lineage: Eukaryota; Metazoa; Chordata; Lepidosauria; Squamata; Agamidae
Source: RefSeq, a predicted model, not a curated record